Felis catus (domestic cat) is the source of this 85-nucleotide transfer RNA. It matches the Rfam family "tRNA". Rfam says of the family: Transfer RNA (tRNA) molecules are approximately 80 nucleotides in length. Their secondary structure includes four short double-helical elements and three loops (D, anti-codon, and T loops). NCBI's taxonomy places the organism in Eukaryota, Metazoa, Chordata, Mammalia, Carnivora, Felidae. The record is from Rfam.
GCCUGAGUGGCUCAGUCGGUUGAGCGUCCGACUUCAGCUCAGGUCAUGAUCUCGCAGCUCGUGGGUUCGAGCCCCGCAUCAGGCU